UCCCUUUAAUGAAGCAAAGAGUAAAAUAUGCCUAUUUAGUCCAGUGAUGUCUCAAUACGAAAGAAAAUACUUCUUUUUAGAUCGACAUGUCUCAUUAGCAGUCCACUAAAAGCGAAAAACAUCCUCUGAUUCACAUGAGUCAGCUCAAAAAAAAACAUUGGAAAGUUGAGGAGGUGCGCGUCGAUAGUGUCCUACAGGUGAGUGUCAAAAGCUUCUUCUGCGUGCGUCCCGCACAGUUUUCCACAUUAAAAAAAAACGACACUCGCACUGCCCCACCGAGUUAUACACUCACUGGAUGUAAAUGUACAGCAUUCCAUUAGAAGUCGCACGACUCUUGUCUUACCCCGUGGACUUUUGCAGUAGGAACAAAGAAGGGGAAGACUCAACAAGUUGGUAAGGAAAGAAAGAGAGGGAUCAAACUGGAUCCACCGGUUCCUAAGGAAUUAGCCAUAGCGACAGGGAGCAGCCAAGCUAUUUUCAACAACCAAAGGACUGGAAAUCCGCGGACAACCCGCACGAGCUGCUAUUCUGGGAACUUGGUCUGACACAGAGAAACGGAUCACAGAGUGUGGACCCAGUCUGCCUCCCUGCUCGGCAAUCGAUUAGGUUACAAGGGGCCUCUUAUUUCUAAGGCUGUUGCCAGAUUAUAUCCCUGUGACGACAAAACAUAAGUGGCAUAGUCUAUUGGGGGCUACCGUGUACUCAAGGACAUGUAAAGUGACCACAUGCAUUAUAUAUAUAUGUGCACACUGACAUAAUAUUAUCACUGAAUUACUACAAUGUUACUGCUUUUCUUUGGAAAUAAAAUUGUGGCAAAAG
Molecule: long non-coding RNA, 819 nt
Organism: Oreochromis aureus
Lineage: Eukaryota; Metazoa; Chordata; Actinopteri; Cichliformes; Cichlidae
Exons: 2
Source: RefSeq, a predicted model, not a curated record